RNAcentral lists this ribosomal RNA (901 nucleotides) under Salmonella enterica subsp. enterica serovar Choleraesuis. RNAcentral's name for it is "bacterial SSU rRNA". It matches the Rfam family "Bacterial small subunit ribosomal RNA", at positions 239 to 1133 of the family's 1533-position model. Lineage: Bacteria; Pseudomonadati; Pseudomonadota; Gammaproteobacteria; Enterobacterales; Enterobacteriaceae. The record is from RNAcentral.
GAUUAGCUUGUUGGUGAGGUAACGGCUCACCAAGGCGACGAUCCCUAGCUGGUCUGAGAGGAUGACCAGCCACACUGGAACUGAGACACGGUCCAGACUCCUACGGGAGGCAGCAGUGGGGAAUAUUGCACAAUGGGCGCAAGCCUGAUGCAGCCAUGCCGCGUGUAUGAAGAAGGCCUUCGGGUUGUAAAGUACUUUCAGCGGGGAGGAAGGUGUUGUGGUUAAUAACCGCAGCAAUUGACGUUACCCGCAGAAGAAGCACCGGCUAACUCCGUGCCAGCAGCCGCGGUAAUACGGAGGGUGCAAGCGUUAAUCGGAAUUACUGGGCGUAAAGCGCACGCAGGCGGUCUGUCAAGUCGGAUGUGAAAUCCCCGGGCUCAACCUGGGAACUGCAUUCGAAACUGGCAGGCUUGAGUCUUGUAGAGGGGGGUAGAAUUCCAGGUGUAGCGGUGAAAUGCGUAGAGAUCUGGAGGAAUACCGGUGGCGAAGGCGGCCCCCUGGACAAAGACUGACGCUCAGGUGCGAAAGCGUGGGGAGCAAACAGGAUUAGAUACCCUGGUAGUCCACGCCGUAAACGAUGUCUACUUGGAGGUUGUGCCCUUGAGGCGUGGCUUCCGGAGCUAACGCGUUAAGUAGACCGCCUGGGGAGUACGGCCGCAAGGUUAAAACUCAAAUGAAUUGACGGGGGCCCGCACAAGCGGUGGAGCAUGUGGUUUAAUUCGAUGCAACGCGAAGAACCUUACCUGGUCUUGACAUCCACGGAAGUUUUCAGAGAUGAGAAUGUGCCUUCGGGAACCGUGAGACAGGUGCUGCAUGGCUGUCGUCAGCUCGUGUUGUGAAAUGUUGGGUUAAGUCCCGCAACGAGCGCAACCCUUAUCCUUUGUUGCCAGCGAUUAGGUCG